RNAcentral lists this ribosomal RNA (253 nucleotides) under uncultured bacterium. RNAcentral describes it as "partial 16S ribosomal RNA". It matches the Rfam family "Bacterial small subunit ribosomal RNA", at positions 524 to 776 of the family's 1533-position model. The record is from RNAcentral.
CACGUAGGGGCCAAGCGUUGUCCGGAUUAUUGGGCGUAAAGAGCUCGUAGGCGGUUGGGUAAGUCGGGUGUGAAAACUCCAGGCUCAACUUGGAGACGCCACCCGAUACUGCUCUGACUUGAGUUCGGUAGGGGAGUGGGGAAUUCCUGGUGUAGCGGUGAAAUGCGCAGAUAUCAGGAGGAACACCGGUGGCGAAGGCGCCACUCUGGGCCGAAACUGACGCUGAGGAGCGAAAGCGUGGGGAGCGAACAGG